Long non-coding RNA from Stegostoma tigrinum, 1045 nucleotides. RefSeq lists it as uncharacterized. The transcript has 2 exons. The record is from RefSeq and is a predicted model, not a curated record. Lineage: Eukaryota; Metazoa; Chordata; Chondrichthyes; Orectolobiformes; Stegostomatidae.
CUGGCCGGGAGGGUGAGCUCUCAAUCCCCAGGUCCCUUCCUUAAUACAGAGCUCACUUGUGCGUCCAGGCGUACACUAAGCAAACAGGUCGGCGUGUUCCAGCCAUGUAAAAAAAAACCACUCACAGCCAUAAACAGACAUUCGAACUACUAUUGUAGUCUGCUGUGCAGGUGUCAGCUGCAAACUAACGCAUGGACACGUUAAUCUGUUGAGCAGCUCCAGUGCACCACAUAAGGAACAGAGUUGGUGCAGAUUGCAGCUAUCUAGAGGUUUACGUGUUCCGCAAACAAUGCUUUCAGCAAAAGACAGUCUCCUUCUUUAUUUGGCUUCUCUUUUUUUUUGUUCGGCCACAAAGAGCCAGUGACCUCUUUGUCAGUCAGUAUAUGUAGGAUUUACAGGCAAAUGUCAUCCCCGGAUUGACACCAAGGCUCCCGUUUACUUGGCUCGGGCUUGGCUUUAGAUCCGCGUCCUCUAUAGAGAUCCUAUCAGACCGGUUCGGCGAUUGAGGGAAGGAAAUCUGUUGUCGUUACCUGGGCUGGCCUACAUGUGACUCCAGACCUGCAGCAAUGUGGUUGGCUCUUACCUGCGCUAUGAGCAAUAAGUGCUGGUCCAGUCAGUACAGCCAUAUCCCUGAAUGAAUUUUUAAAAACCCUGAUGUUAUUGGACAGGCUUAUAAGGAGAAAAUGCCCUACUUCUAUUUCCUAAAUCUUUAUGUUUUUAUGCAUGUAUACAACCAAAAUACUUCUCAUUUUUUAAACUGGAAAAUAUGGAGGGAAGAGACAAAAGCCAUCAGUGGACAAAAGGCAUUGUGAAGAUAUUGAGUGUAAUGCCCCUGAUUAGUAGCAAUUUCAAACCUGUGCAUUACCAUUUCAGGAAUCUGUUGAUAAGGAACUUCUCUUCAAACUACAACUCCAUGUCUUUUUUUUGUAGAUGACCAAAAAAACGAACAUAACUAAGGGUUGCUGUCCUUGGGCAUUGUAUAAUAAACACAACCUGGGAUUAUCACUGAUGACACUUCUGUAAUAAACACAAUUUAUAGUUGCUA